Molecule: microRNA precursor, 140 nt
Filed under: Manihot esculenta (cassava)
Lineage: Eukaryota; Viridiplantae; Streptophyta; Magnoliopsida; Malpighiales; Euphorbiaceae
Source: RNAcentral
AGUCUUGUUUGGUAGCCAAGGAUGACUUGCCUGCAGCUUCACGCAGAUUUUUCAUCUUUGCAUGAAAUAACGCGGCUAACUAAGGUUUUGAAUAUGUAUGUGGUUUACAGGCAUUCUCCUUGGCUAACGAGACAGGCUCU